ACGAACGCUGGCGGCGUGCUUAACCCAUGCCAGUCGAACGGAAAGGCCCUGCUUUUGUGGGGUGCUCGAGUGGCGAACGGGUGAGUAACACGUGAGUAACCUGCCCUUGACUUUGGGAUAACUUCAGGAAACUGGGGCUAAUACCGGAUAGCAGCUCCUGCUGCAUGGUGGGGGUUGGAAAGUUUCGGCGGUUGGGGAUGGACUCGCGGCUUAUCAGCUUGUUGGUGGGGUAGUGGCUUACCAAGGCUUUGACGGGUAGCCGGCCUGAGAGGGUGACCGGCCACAUUGGGACUGAGAUACGGCCCAGACUCCUACGGGAGGCAGCAGUGGGGAAUAUUGCACAAUGGGCGGAAGCCUGAUGCAGCAACGCCGCGUGCGGGAUGACGGCCUUCGGGUUGUAAACCGCUUUCGCCUGUGACGAAGCGUGAGUGACGGUAAUGGGUAAAGAAGCACCGGCUAACUACGUG
Molecule: ribosomal RNA, 467 nt
Filed under: uncultured bacterium
Lineage: Bacteria
Description: partial 16S ribosomal RNA
Rfam family: Bacterial small subunit ribosomal RNA
Source: RNAcentral